RNAcentral lists this ribosomal RNA (92 nucleotides) under Xanthomonas citri pv. citri. Its description in RNAcentral is "partial 23S ribosomal RNA". It matches the Rfam family "Bacterial large subunit ribosomal RNA", at positions 2834 to 2925 of the family's 2925-position model. The record is from RNAcentral. Lineage: Bacteria; Pseudomonadati; Pseudomonadota; Gammaproteobacteria; Lysobacterales; Lysobacteraceae.
UCCCUCAAAGAUGAUGAGGUUAAUAGGUUCGAGGUGGAAGCAUGGUGACAUGUGGAGCUGACGAAUACUAAUCGAUCGAAGACUUAAUCAAA